This 312-nucleotide ribosomal RNA is filed under the name Triticum aestivum (bread wheat). RNAcentral describes it as "partial small subunit ribosomal RNA". Lineage: Eukaryota; Viridiplantae; Streptophyta; Magnoliopsida; Poales; Poaceae. The record is from RNAcentral.
AUGUUCUUGCUAAUGAAAUUACAGGGAGAGAUAUCAAAUGGUAUUGGAUCAGAAUCAUGCGUUCUUGAUUUUCGCAGAGACAUGCAUCAAAUGGGAAUUGCAAGGAAUCAAAUGGAAUCAAAUGAGUUUGCGGAUUGUGGGGCAAUGCUCCCGGCGGGCGGUGCCGAGCAGGUGCGUGCCCCCGCACCUGUAAGCCCUUGGGAAUUUCUUAUCAGAAUGAGGUGUCGUUGUGCCUCACAUGGGAACAAUCUGCGGAAUCUAUAUGGAGCUUUGUUCGAUCAAUCUCUUCUACCUUCGCAAGAUCUAUUCUAA